RNAcentral lists this transfer RNA (58 nucleotides) under Dipodomys ordii (Ord's kangaroo rat). It matches the Rfam family "tRNA", at positions 8 to 63 of the family's 71-position model. Rfam says of the family: Transfer RNA (tRNA) molecules are approximately 80 nucleotides in length. Their secondary structure includes four short double-helical elements and three loops (D, anti-codon, and T loops). The record is from Rfam by way of RNAcentral. Lineage: Eukaryota; Metazoa; Chordata; Mammalia; Rodentia; Heteromyidae.
UGGCUCAGUGGUAGAGCACUUGCCUUACAAGCAUGAGGCCCUGGGUUUGAUUGCUCAG